CCUACGGGUGGCUGCAGUGGGGAAUAUUGGACAAUGGGCGAAAGCCUGAUCCAGCCAUGCCGCGUGUGUGAAGAAGGCCUUUGGGUUGUAAAGCACUUUCAGUGGGGAAGAAAGCCUUGGGGCUAAUACCCUCGAGGAAGGACAUCACCCACAGAAGAAGCACCGGCUAACUCCGUGCCAGCAGCCGCGGUAAUACGGAGGGUGCGAGCGUUAAUCGGAAUUACUGGGCGUAAAGCGCGCGUAGGCGGUCUGAUAAGCCGGUUGUGAAAGCCCCGGGCUCAACCUGGGAACGGCAUCCGGAACUGUCAGGCUAGAGUGCAGGAGAGGAAGGUAGAAUUCCCGGUGUAGCGGUGAAAUGCGGAGAGAUCGGGAGGAAUACCAGUGGCGAAGGCGGCCUUCUGGACUGACACUGACGCUGAGGUGCGAAAGCGUGGGUAGCAAACAGGAUUAGAUACCCCGGUAGUC
Molecule: ribosomal RNA, 465 nt
Filed under: Vreelandella stevensii
Lineage: Bacteria; Pseudomonadati; Pseudomonadota; Gammaproteobacteria; Oceanospirillales; Halomonadaceae
Description: partial 16S ribosomal RNA
Rfam family: Bacterial small subunit ribosomal RNA
Source: RNAcentral